This 377-nucleotide ribosomal RNA is filed under the name uncultured bacterium. Its description in RNAcentral is "bacterial SSU rRNA". It matches the Rfam family "Bacterial small subunit ribosomal RNA", at positions 521 to 896 of the family's 1533-position model. The record is from RNAcentral.
UAAUACGGAGGGUGCAAGCGUUGUUCGGAUUUAUUGGGCGUAAAGCGCGUGUAGGCGGUUUCUUAAGUCUGAUGUGAAAGCCCUGGGCUCAACCCAGGAAGUGCAUUGGAUACUGGGAGACUUGAAUACGGGAGAGGGUAGUGGAAUUCCUAGUGUAGGAGUGAAAUCCGUAGAUAUUAGGAGGAACACCGGUGGCGAAGGCGGCUACCUGGACCGAUAUUGACGCUGAGACGCGAAAGCGUGGGGAGCAAACAGGAUUAGAUACCCUGGUAGUCCACGCCGUAAACGAUGAGAACUAGGUGUUGCGGGUAUUGACCCCUGCAGUGCCGCAGCUAACGCAUUAAGUUCUCCGCCUGGGAAGUACGGUCGCAAGACUA